AUGAAGAGAAGUCAAGAAGAGUCGUUAGUAUUAGAGAAAAGGCUUAGAGCUUGAUUCAGGCUUCUAAGCAAGUCUUUGUUGAAGGGACUACUAACUUCUGAUUCUAGUUAUCUUCAAGGAGUCUCUAGUAAAUGUCCUCCUCUAGCUAGCAGUGCAGUACCUAUGACUAGACCUGUCAAUUCCAGUGGUCCUCAAGUUUCUCUAGCAGAACCACAACCUAUUACUCCCCAGUUUGAUAAUAAUAUUUUUGUGCCUAACUCCAUUGAUCAGUCUCAUCCUAAGGAUCCUCAUGUGUCUCAAUCUGCUCCCACUACUGAUACGGAAGACUCUGCUGAGAGCGCAGACUAA
Non-coding RNA from Vicia faba (fava bean), 348 nucleotides. The record is from the annotation of a GenBank genome assembly. Lineage: Eukaryota; Viridiplantae; Streptophyta; Magnoliopsida; Fabales; Fabaceae.